This is a long non-coding RNA of Brassica oleracea var. oleracea, 256 nucleotides long. RefSeq lists it as uncharacterized. Lineage: Eukaryota; Viridiplantae; Streptophyta; Magnoliopsida; Brassicales; Brassicaceae. The transcript is spliced from 2 exons. The record is from RefSeq and is a predicted model, not a curated record.
UUUUUUCUCUAUGCACCAUGGGGCUUCAUGGUCGGUCUUCUUUUGGUGGUCAGAGAUUUUAGUUGAAGAAAUAAUAUGGUGAUCAAGAAUGAUCCAGAGGAUGCGGUACAAGAGUGUCUGGCCCACUUUAAAGAUAAUAUGGCAAUUAGCAACCACUGAGCUUUUUGUUUUCUUGAACCUUGUCUUUCCUAUUUGGCAAAUACAGAACACUACAACUCUAUUUUUUUUUAAACAAAUAAUAUUUUAUAUUCUCACA